Molecule: microRNA precursor, 88 nt
Filed under: Canis lupus familiaris (dog)
Lineage: Eukaryota; Metazoa; Chordata; Mammalia; Carnivora; Canidae
Also listed under: 1 other name
Description: mir-8799 microRNA precursor family
Rfam family: mir-8799 microRNA precursor family
Source: Rfam by way of RNAcentral
CGGGGGAGGCCGGAUCCUGGGCUGUGUCCGGGCGCCCUGUGCUCCGGGGCCUGUGCUGUUGGAUUCGCUCCCAGCCGCCCAGCCCCCU